GAGCCGGCGCCCUGCCGUAAAACACCCCAAUUCUAAAUGGUUGACCUCGGAUCAGGUAGGAAUACCCGCUGAACUUAAGCAUAUCAAAA
RNAcentral lists this ribosomal RNA (89 nucleotides) under Anthostomelloides krabiensis. RNAcentral describes it as "partial 28S ribosomal RNA". The record is from RNAcentral. Lineage: Eukaryota; Fungi; Ascomycota; Sordariomycetes; Xylariales.